UGAGGAAUAUUGGUCAAUGGGCGAGAGCCUGAACCAGCCAAGUAGCGUGCAGGAUGACGGCCCUAUGGGUUGUAAACUGCUUUUAUAAGGGAAUAAAGUGAGUCUCGUGAGACUUUUUGCAUGUACCUUAUGAAUAAGGACCGGCUAAUUCCGUGCCAGCAGCCGCGGUAAUACGGAAGGUCCGGGCGUUAUCCGGAUUUAUUGGGUUUAAAGGGAGCGUAGGCCGGAGAUUAAGCGUGUUGUGAAAUGUAGUGGCUCAACGUCUGCACUGCAGCGCGAACUGGUU
RNAcentral lists this ribosomal RNA (286 nucleotides) under uncultured Prevotella sp. RNAcentral describes it as "partial 16S ribosomal RNA". It matches the Rfam family "Bacterial small subunit ribosomal RNA", at positions 355 to 638 of the family's 1533-position model. The record is from RNAcentral. Lineage: Bacteria; Pseudomonadati; Bacteroidota; Bacteroidia; Bacteroidales; Prevotellaceae.